ACGGGUGUAGCUCAAUUGGUAGAGUGGCGGUCUCCAAAACCGUAGGUUGUGGGUUCGAUUCCUACCACCCGUG
RNAcentral lists this transfer RNA (73 nucleotides) under Bacteroidota bacterium. RNAcentral's name for it is "Bacteroidetes bacterium (groundwater metagenome) tRNA-Trp". It matches the Rfam family "tRNA". From Rfam's summary of the family: Transfer RNA (tRNA) molecules are approximately 80 nucleotides in length. Their secondary structure includes four short double-helical elements and three loops (D, anti-codon, and T loops). RNAcentral also lists the same sequence under 1 other name. Lineage: Bacteria; Pseudomonadati; Bacteroidota. The record is from RNAcentral.